CCUACGGGUGGCAGCAGUGAGGAAUAUUGGUCAAUGGACGCAAGUCUGAACCAGCCAUGCCGCGUGCAGGAAGACGGCUCUAUGAGUUGUAAACUGCUUUUGUACGAGGGUAAACGCAGAUACGCGUAUCUGUCUGAAAGUACCUUAUGAAUAAGGAUCGGCUAACUCCGUGCCAGCAGCCGCGGUAAUACGGGGGAUUCAAGCGUUAUCCGGAUUUAUUGGGUUUAAAGGGUGCGUAGGCGGGCGGUUAAGUCAGAGGUGAAAUCCUGAGGCUCAACUUCGGAAUUGCCGUUGAUACUGUCAGGCUAGAGAGUAGUUGCGGUAGGCGGAAUGUAUGGUGUAGCGGUGAAAUGCUUAGAGAUCAUACAGAACACCGAUUGCGAAGGCAGCUUACCAAGCUACUUCUGACGUUGAGGCACGAAAGCGUGGGGAGCAAACAGGAUUAGAUACCCCUGUAGUC
This 460-nucleotide ribosomal RNA is filed under the name uncultured bacterium. RNAcentral's name for it is "partial 16S ribosomal RNA". It matches the Rfam family "Bacterial small subunit ribosomal RNA", at positions 338 to 795 of the family's 1533-position model. The record is from RNAcentral.